Molecule: ribosomal RNA, 1406 nt
Filed under: uncultured bacterium
Lineage: Bacteria
Description: bacterial SSU rRNA
Rfam family: Bacterial small subunit ribosomal RNA
Source: RNAcentral
GAGUUUGAUCAUGGCUCAGGACGAACGCUGGCGGCGUGCCUAAUACAUGCAAGUAGAACGCUGAAGAGAGGAGCUUGCUCUUCUUGGAUGAGUUGCGAACGGGCGAGUAACGCGUAGGUAACCUGCCUUGUAGCGGGGGAUAACUAUUGGAAACGAUAGCUAAUACCGCAUAACAAUGGAUGACACAUGUCAUUUAUUUGAAAGGGGCAAUUGCUCCACUACAAGAUGGACCUGCGUUGUAUUAGCUAGUAGGUGAGGUAACGGCUCACCUAGGCGACGAUACAUAGCCGACCUGAGAGGGUGAUCGGCCACACUGGGACUGAGACACGGCCCAGACUCCUACGGGAGGCAGCAGUAGGGAAUCUUCGGCAAUGGGGGCAACCCUGACCGAGCAACGCCGCGUGAGUGAAGAAGGUUUUCGGAUCGUAAAGCUUUGUUGUAAGUCAAGAACGAGUGUGAGAGUGGAAAGUUCACACUGUGACGGUAGCUUACCAGAAAGGGACGGCUAACUACGUGCCAGCAGCCGCGGUAAUACGUAGGUCCCGAGCGUUGUCCGGAUUUAUUGGGCGUAAAGCGAGCGCAGGCGGUUUGAUAAGUCUGAAGUUAAAGGCUGUGGCUCAACCAUAGUUCGCUUUGGAAACUGUCAAACUUGAGUGCAGAAGGGGAGAGUGGAAUUCCAUGUGUAGCGGUGAAAUGCGUAGAUAUAUGGAGGAACACCGGUGGGCGAAAGCGGCUCUCUGGUCUGUAACUGACGCUGAGGCUCGAAAGCGUGGGGAGCGAACAGGAUUAGAUACCCUGGUAGUCCACGCCGUAAACGAUGAGUGCUAGGUGUUGGAUCCUUUCCGGGAUUCAGUGCCGCAGCUAACGCAUUAAGCACUCCGCCUGGGGAGUACGACCGCAAGGUUGAAACUCAAAGGAAUUGACGGGGGCCCGCACAAGCGGUGGAGCAUGUGGUUUAAUUCGAAGCAACGCGAAGAACCUUACCAGGUCUUGACAUCCCGAUGCUAUUUCUAGAGAUAGAAAGUUACUUCGGUACAUCGGUGACAGGUGGUGCAUGGUUGUCGUCAGCUCGUGUCGUGAGAUGUUGGGUUAAGUCCCGCAACGAGCGCAACCCCUAUUGUUAGUUGCUAUCAUUCAGUUGGGCACUCUAGCGAGACUGCCGGUAAUAAACCGGAGGAAGGUGGGGAUGACGUCAAAUCAUCAUGCCCCUUAUGACCUGGGCUACACACGUGCUACAAUGGUUGGUACAACGAGUUGCGAGUCGGUGACGGCAAGCUAAUCUCUUAAAGCCAAUCUCAGUUCGGAUUGUAGGCUGCAACUCGCCUACAUGAAGUCGGAAUCGCUAGUAAUCGCGGAUCAGCACGCCGCGGUGAAUACGUUCCCGGGCCUUGUACACACCGCCCGUC